This 495-nucleotide ribosomal RNA is filed under the name uncultured bacterium. Its description in RNAcentral is "partial 16S ribosomal RNA". It matches the Rfam family "Bacterial small subunit ribosomal RNA", at positions 28 to 507 of the family's 1533-position model. The record is from RNAcentral.
GACGAACGCUGGCGGCGUGCCUAAUACAUGCAAGUAGAACGCUGAAGGAGGAGCUUGCUCUUCUGGAUGAGUUGCGAACGGGUGAGUAACGCGUAGGUAACCUGCCUGGUAGCGGGGGAUAACUAUUGGAAACGAUAGCUAAUACCGCAUAAGAGUAGAUGUUGCAUGACAUUUGCUUAAAAGGUGCAAUUGCAUCACUACCAGAUGGACCUGCGUUGUAUUAGCUAGUUGGUGGGGUAACGGCUCACCAAGGCGACGAUACAUAGCCGACCUGAGAGGGUGAUCGGCCACACUGGGACUGAGACACGGCCCAGACUCCUACGGGAGGCAGCAGUAGGGAAUCUUCGGCAAUGGACGGAAGUCUGACCGAGCAACGCCGCGUGAGUGAAGAAGGGUGUCGGAUCGUAAAGCUCGGUUGUAAGAGAAGAACGAGUGUGAGAGUGGAAAGUUCACACUGUGACGGUAUCUUACCAGAAAGGGACGGCUAACUACGUG